RNAcentral lists this ribosomal RNA (119 nucleotides) under Oncorhynchus mykiss (rainbow trout). Lineage: Eukaryota; Metazoa; Chordata; Actinopteri; Salmoniformes; Salmonidae. The record is from RNAcentral.
GCUUACGGCCACACCGGCCUGAGUAUGCCUGAUCUCGUCCGAUCUUGGAAGCUAAGCUGGGUCGGGCCUGGUUAGUACUUGGAUGGGAGACCGCCUGGGAAUACCAGGUGCUGUAAGCU